GGUGACAGGUGGUGCAUGGUUGUCGUCAGCUCGUGUCGUGCGCUGUUGGGUUAAGUCCCGCAACGAGCGCAACCCUUGUCUUUAGUUGCCUUCCUUAAGUUGGGCACUCUUGCGAGUCUGCCAGGGAUACCCUGGAGGAAGGUGGGGAUGACGUCAAAUCAUCAUGCCCCGUAUGCUUAGGGCUACACACGCGCUACAAUGGGUAGUACAGCGGGUUGCCAUGCCGUCAGUUGGAGCUAAUCCCUUACAGAUACUUUGAGUUUGGAUUGUUGGCUGCAACACGUCUACAUGAAGCAGGCGUUACUCGUAAUCGCUCCCCGGACUGCUGCGGUUUAUGCGUUCACNGCACUUUUAACACCCGCCCGUACCACUACCGCUGGCGGCAUCGCGCGAACCC
Molecule: ribosomal RNA, 397 nt
Filed under: Clostridioides difficile
Lineage: Bacteria; Bacillati; Bacillota; Clostridia; Peptostreptococcales; Peptostreptococcaceae
Description: bacterial SSU rRNA
Rfam family: Bacterial small subunit ribosomal RNA
Source: RNAcentral